This 131-nucleotide small RNA is filed under the name Pseudomonas aeruginosa PAK. RNAcentral's name for it is "potential sRNA". The record is from RNAcentral. Lineage: Bacteria; Pseudomonadati; Pseudomonadota; Gammaproteobacteria; Pseudomonadales; Pseudomonadaceae.
GUUCGCCUCGGCGACCUCUCGGUCGGCUUCGUCCAGGCGCUGGCCGACGCCCUGCUCGCCGCCGGCGUCGAGCCCGCAGCACUGCUCGAGCAGUACGGCCUCGACCAGCGGCGCCUGGCCGAACCCGGGGC